CUGCCUCGGUUGUGGCUGCCCUUGCCGUCGGCACUCGCUGCUCCUCUCCCUCCUAUUUCGCUGCUCUCCUUAUGGUGUUGUUUUGAAAUUGUGGUGUUGUAAAGUGGUGGUGGAAGAGGUGAGGGGAGGUUGCUCAUAUAGCCAUGGAUUUGGCUGUUUUGUGACCGAUUCUUGGGGGCAAAGACUUACUAUUUUCGGUUGCAUCUCAGCUCACUUUUGAGCUUUGCUAAGAGGAUUUGCAUACUAAUUUGGUGAAAUUCUUGAGAGUUCCAUGGGGCUAUCCUGCUCCCUGCAGGGGCUUCCCUUUUUGGCUUGUGGGUCCUCAAGAUGCACUUGGCUGUCCCGAUUUGGAGUCUUAUGAGGAGCCAUUUCUCGAGAAGGAGGAGGUGAAGAGCAAGAGAUCUUGUCCUAGGAGCAUAUCCCUUGUUUCUAUUGGUGUAGCCAAUUCUUAGGCUUGAGGCUAGUAGGAUAAUAGUAGCUGUACAUUAUUCAUUCCUUUAUAUUUUUGUCCCAAAAAUAUGUAUGCACUUUGUAUUUUCAAUCACAUCCCAUGUAUUUCUAUUUCUUUAAGCA
Salvia hispanica is the source of this 573-nucleotide non-coding RNA. The record is from RefSeq and is a predicted model, not a curated record. NCBI's taxonomy places the organism in Eukaryota, Viridiplantae, Streptophyta, Magnoliopsida, Lamiales, Lamiaceae.